RNAcentral lists this unclassified non-coding RNA (344 nucleotides) under Ectothiorhodospira magna. Its description in RNAcentral is "Long range pseudoknot". Lineage: Bacteria; Pseudomonadati; Pseudomonadota; Gammaproteobacteria; Chromatiales; Ectothiorhodospiraceae. The record is from RNAcentral.
ACGGACGAAGGCGACUACCAGGUCAAGCUUCGCAAUCUCAACCGCUUUCUGGAGCAUGGUGACAAAUGCAAGGUCACUAUCCGCUUCCGCGGUCGUGAGAUGGCGCACCAGGAGCUGGGUGCCAGGUUGCUCGACCGGAUUGAAGCCGAUCUGGGUGAGCUGGCCACGGUGGAGCAGCGCCCCAAGAUGGAAGGUCGCCAGAUGAUCAUGGUGAUCAGUCCCAAGAAGAAGUGAGCAGUCAGCGGUAGCCAUAAUAAAACGGAUGCACGGGUCACGGUACACCUGUGCGUCUCGACCAACAUGUCGUCAACCAGGCGACAUCAUCCGGAGUUCAAAGAUGCCGA